UUAGAGAGAGAGUUUAGUUAGAGAAAGUGGUCUUUUGUUAGUUUUCGGAAGUUUUUCGGUGUGAAGUGUAGAUCGUUAGGAGGAGUUUGGUGGAGUUAGGAUCCGACCUUUUCAACCUUAGUUAGAGACCUUCUCAUCCUGAAGCAUUGUGAGUUAUGGUGAUGUGUGAUUGUUUGUUAACACGUUUAUUACUUCAGGUUCCCGACAUUUUUAAGUUAGAUCUCAGCAGGAGGCUAGAUCUGUCUUGGUGUCAGUUUGUAUAGUUAGAUCUAAGAUUAAUUACUUGUAAAGUUUGAGUGUUAAUUUAUCAAAGACGGUUCGGGGGUG
Molecule: long non-coding RNA, 327 nt
Filed under: Brassica napus (rape)
Lineage: Eukaryota; Viridiplantae; Streptophyta; Magnoliopsida; Brassicales; Brassicaceae
Description: long non-coding RNA (BNAP_LNC020207)
Source: RNAcentral